Molecule: long non-coding RNA, 906 nt
Filed under: Mus musculus (house mouse)
Lineage: Eukaryota; Metazoa; Chordata; Mammalia; Rodentia; Muridae
Description: predicted gene, 40658
Source: RNAcentral
AGAGAAGCAUGGCUAGAAGUCACUUAAGAAAUAGCCCCAGCUUCUGACUUUCAAGCUAAACUCCUCCCCAGUUACCUAGCAACAUUAAAGACCAUAAAAAGGGUUGUUCAGCCCCUGCUUGCUCUCUUACUUCUUACUCUCUGUCUCUCUCUUCUUACCCCUCACUCUCCCCCUCUCUCCUCUGUGUCUUCUCUCCUCUCCUCUCUCCUCUCUCUGCUUCUCUCUCUCUCUCUCUCUCUCUCUCUCUCUCUCUCUCUCUCUCUCUCUCCCCUACCUUCUCUCUUUCCCCAUGCCUUUCUACAAUAAAGCUCUAGAGUCUCUGCUCAUCAAGAUCUGCUGCACUCACUCUGGUCAGUGUUGGGGACCUCUUCCCUCAUCCUUCUCUCCUAUAACCCUGGUGGCUUUAGCAAAGUAGCUCCGGGGUUCCCAGGUAGGGUUGCCUCUGGCCACCCUCUGAAGAGUGGCUCAGAGGCCUGAAUGCCCACCCAGGGAUGAGUGGAAGGUAGAUAGCAACUCGCCCAUACCUGACAGACCAGAGAAUAGCCUCAAACUCAGUGUCUAUAUGAGGAGAACGACCUUAAACGUAUGUUUCAGAGGACUGGGACUACAUGAGUGCACCAACAUGGCUGGUUUCUGUGAUGCUGCAAUCGAACCCAGGACUUCAUCCAUUCAAGGCAGUGACUCUAUCAACUGUUCUUCAUUCCCAGCACUAUUCCAUGGCAUGGUGCAUAACAUUGAUCCAGCUUCUGGAUCAAUUUCGCCAAUAUGAUUUGAUCCACCAUGUGGUUGAUGGAAAUUGAACUCAGGACCUCUGGAAGAACAGUCAGUGCUCUUACCCAAUGAGCCAUCUCUCCAGCCUCAGAAUCAGAAUUAUUUGGAAUCUGCAAACCUGAAGGUUGAUGGAAC